This 255-nucleotide ribosomal RNA is filed under the name uncultured bacterium. Its description in RNAcentral is "partial 16S ribosomal RNA". It matches the Rfam family "Bacterial small subunit ribosomal RNA", at positions 524 to 777 of the family's 1533-position model. The record is from RNAcentral.
UACGGGGGGGGGUAAGCGUUGUUCGGAAUUACUGGGCGUAAAGGGCUCGUAGGCGGCCAACUAAGUCAGACGUGAAAUCCCUCGGCUUAACCGGGGAACUGCGUCUGAUACUGGAUGGCUGGAGUUUGGGAGAGGGAUGCGGAAUUCCAGGUGUAGCGGUGAAAUGCGUAGAUAUCUGGAGGAACACCGGUGGCGAAGGCGGCAUCCUGGACCAACACUGACGCUGAGGAGCGAAAGCCAGGGGAGCAAACGGGG